GUGAGAAGUAGCAGUGAGAUUAUUCAUGUUUUCUGCAUUCGCAGUCUCGUCUCAAGGAACUGGAACGGGAAGCACAUUUUGCUGCAGGAGAACAGUUUCAUGUGACGAGCAGUAAUCAGCUCCGAGAGAUGCUCUUUGGGAAGCUGCAGCUGCACCUCCUGUGUCCACGGGAGAGUCUUCCCAGAACAGGGCUGCAGAGACAGCUGUCUACGUCGGAAGCCUCGUUACAUAUCCUACAAGACCUUCAUCCAUUGCCAAAGAUAAUUUUGGAGCAUAGGCAG
This is a long non-coding RNA of Sorex fumeus (smoky shrew), 281 nucleotides long. RefSeq lists it as uncharacterized. The transcript is spliced from 3 exons. The record is from RefSeq and is a predicted model, not a curated record. NCBI's taxonomy places the organism in Eukaryota, Metazoa, Chordata, Mammalia, Eulipotyphla, Soricidae.